Molecule: non-coding RNA, 107 nt
Organism: Acanthosepion pharaonis
Lineage: Eukaryota; Metazoa; Mollusca; Cephalopoda; Sepiida; Sepiidae
Source: the annotation of a GenBank genome assembly
UGGUCAUAUCACGAUGAAAAAUCGGUCCUCGUACGAUCGCCGUAGUUAAGCAACGUCGAGCCUGGUCAGUAUCAGGAUGGGUGAUUGGUUGGGAAUACCAGGUUAUG